RNAcentral lists this small RNA (51 nucleotides) under bovine gut metagenome. Its description in RNAcentral is "Streptococcus sRNA SpF59 (ldcC RNA)". It matches the Rfam family "Streptococcus sRNA SpF59 (ldcC RNA)". The record is from RNAcentral. RNAcentral also lists the same sequence under 1 other name.
UGACCACCCUUAACGGGUCAAGGCCAUACGGACAGCCGGGUCAACUGCCGA